GAAAUGCGAUAAGUAAUGUGAAUUGCAGAAUUCCGUGAAUCAUCGAAUCUUUGAACGCACAUUGCGCCCCCUGGUAUUCCGGAGGGCAUGCCUGUCCGAGCGUCAUUGCAAACCCUCAAGCACGGCUUGUGUGAUGGGUCCUGGCGUCCACCCCCCUAAGCGUAGGGGGUGGACGGGCCCGAAAGGCAGCGGCGGCACCGUGUCCGGUCCUCGAGCGUAUGGGGCUUCGUCACCCGCUCGAUCAGGGCCGGCCGGGCGCCUGCCGGCGUUCUACCAACCUUAUUUCUCCAGGUUGACCUCGGAUCAGGUAGGGAUACCCGCUGAACUUAAGC
RNAcentral lists this unclassified non-coding RNA (332 nucleotides) under plant metagenome. RNAcentral describes it as "partial contains 5.8S ribosomal RNA, internal transcribed spacer 2, and large subunit ribosomal RNA". The stretch from base 1 to 105 matches the Rfam family "5.8S ribosomal RNA", at positions 50 to 154 of the family's 154-position model. The record is from RNAcentral.